UUAAAUUGAAGAGUUUGAUCAUGGCUCAGAUUGAACGCUGGCGGCAGGCCUAACACAUGCAAGUCGAGCGGAAACGAGUUAUCUGAACCUUCGGGGAACGAUAACGGCGUCGAGCGGCGGACGGGUGAGUAAU
RNAcentral lists this ribosomal RNA (133 nucleotides) under Vibrio alginolyticus. RNAcentral's name for it is "partial 16S ribosomal RNA". It matches the Rfam family "Bacterial small subunit ribosomal RNA", at positions 1 to 114 of the family's 1533-position model. The record is from RNAcentral. RNAcentral also lists the same sequence under 1 other name. Lineage: Bacteria; Pseudomonadati; Pseudomonadota; Gammaproteobacteria; Vibrionales; Vibrionaceae.